This is a ribosomal RNA of Arabidopsis thaliana (thale cress), 118 nucleotides long. NCBI's taxonomy places the organism in Eukaryota, Viridiplantae, Streptophyta, Magnoliopsida, Brassicales, Brassicaceae. The record is from Rfam.
GGAUGAGAUUAUACCAGCACUAAUACACCAGAUCCCAUCAAAACUCCGUAGUUAAGCGUGCUUGGGCGAGAGUAGUACUAGGAUUGGUGACCUCAGGGAAGUCCUCGUGUUGCAUCCG